GGAUCCAGACUUUGCUUUUAGUUCAGGAUGAACGCUGGCGGCGUGCUUAACACAUCCUAGUCGAACGGGAAAUAUUUUAUUGAAACUUCGGUCGAUUUAAUUUAUUUCUAGUGGCGGACGGGUGAGUAACGCGUGGGUAACCUGCCUUAUACUGGGGGAUAACAGCCAGAAAUGACUGCUAAUACCGCAUAAGCGCACAGAACCGCAUGGUUCGGUGUGAAAAACUCCGGUGGUAUAAGAUGGACCCGCGUUGGAUUAGCUAGUUGGCAGGGCAGCGGCCUACCAAGGCGACGAUCCAUAGCCGGCCUGAGAGGGUGAACGGCCACAUUGGGACUGAGACACGGCCCAGACUCCUACGGGAGGCAGCAGUGGGGAAUAUUGCACAAUGGGGGAAACCCUGAUGCAGCGACGCCGCGUGAAGGAAGAAGUAUCUCGGUAUGUAAACUUCUAUCAGCAGGGAAGAUAAUGACGGUACCUGACUAAGAAGCCCCGGCUAACUACGUGCCAGCAGCCGCGGUAAUACGUAGGGGGCAAGCGUUAUCCGGAUUUACUGGGUGUAAAGGGAGCGUAGACGGCGCAGCAAGUCUGAUGUGAAAGGCAGGGGCUUAACCCCUGGACUGCAUUGGAAACUGCUGUGCUUGAGUGCCGGAGGGGUAAGCGGAAUUCCUAGUGUAGCGGUGAAAUGCGUAGAUAUUAGGAGGAA
RNAcentral lists this ribosomal RNA (703 nucleotides) under uncultured bacterium. RNAcentral's name for it is "bacterial SSU rRNA". It matches the Rfam family "Bacterial small subunit ribosomal RNA", at positions 1 to 706 of the family's 1533-position model. The record is from RNAcentral.